Long non-coding RNA from Uranotaenia lowii, 691 nucleotides. RefSeq lists it as uncharacterized. The transcript has 2 exons. The record is from RefSeq and is a predicted model, not a curated record. Lineage: Eukaryota; Metazoa; Arthropoda; Insecta; Diptera; Culicidae.
ACUAAGAUUGCAAUUAUUCCGCUCGGGAUCAUCAUCCUCUGAAUCACGGGAAAACAGCUCAAAAUGACAUUCGAAUUGUCAAAAACAAGAGGUUUUCCUGAGGCACGUGGAGAUUGCUGAACGAUUCUCGUACCACUUCAUUUCUCCUGAAAUUCGAAGGCAUUCUUUAUCGAAUAUUCAGGAGCUCGGGCAGCGAUUCCCUGUAAUACGUAACACAUGAAAUUUUUUUUACUGUCAUGUGUUUGUGUUGGUUCAUUGAUCCUCAAAAACGAUUGUUCCCGGUCAUUAGUCGCGACAGUUGCAACCGCAGAAGCUGCUAAAAGUCGUGCGUUACGUUCAUCGGCAAAGUGUCGUUACUUACGGCGCGAAACUGUUAGUACAGUAUGAGGCCCAAAAUUUAAUUUUCAGGACCGCUGCUGGUCCUGACGCCUGAUAAAUAAACUGGAUCUUAUUAUAGGUGAUAUAAGAAAAAAUGAAUAUGUUGCUAGAGGAGGUGAAACAUGCUUCAAUUUCUAAAUAACACCGGAGAAUGCCGAAAAACUUGCACAUGCUGGAGAAAAAAUUGAUUCCGUGGAAAUAAAAACAGUGCCGAUCAGCCGUCAAAAACAAUGGACAUUUUGAUCGUUCAACUGAAUUUAUAGUUUAGUGUAUAACAAAAAUUGAAUAAAUAUUUUCUUUUUAAAUUGAAAAA